Triticum urartu is the source of this 95-nucleotide non-coding RNA. The record is from Rfam. Lineage: Eukaryota; Viridiplantae; Streptophyta; Magnoliopsida; Poales; Poaceae.
GCACUGAAAGUGAGAGUUGGAGGAAAACAAACAGAUGGCCAACUAUUUGUGGUCACCGAUCAGCUUGUUUUCCUCCAAUAUCUCACCUUCGGUUG